AGCGAACGCUGGCGGCAGGCCUAACACAUGCAAGUCGAACGAACUCUUCGGAGUUAGUGGCGGACGGGUGAGUAACACGUGGGAACGUGCCUUUAGGUUCGGAAUAACUCAGGGAAACUUGUGCUAGUACCGAAUGUGCCCUUCGGGGGAAAGAUUUAUCGCCUUUAGAGCGGCCCGCGUCUGAUUAGCUAGUUGGUGAGGUAAAGGCUCACCAAGGCGACGAUCAGUAGCUGGUCUGAGAGGAUGAUCAGCCACAUUGGGACUGAGACACGGCCCAAACUCCUACGGGAGGCAGCAGUGGGGAACCUUGCGCAAUGGGCGAAAGCCUGACGCAGCCAUGCCGCGUGAAUGAUGAAGGUCUUAGGAUUGUAAAAUUCUUUCACCGGGGACGAUAAUGACGGUACCCGGAGAAGAAGCCCCGGCUAACUUCGUGCCAGCAGCCGCCGUAA
This 449-nucleotide ribosomal RNA is filed under the name uncultured bacterium. Its description in RNAcentral is "partial 16S ribosomal RNA". It matches the Rfam family "Bacterial small subunit ribosomal RNA", at positions 29 to 523 of the family's 1533-position model. The record is from RNAcentral.